Molecule: ribosomal RNA, 463 nt
Filed under: Vreelandella stevensii
Lineage: Bacteria; Pseudomonadati; Pseudomonadota; Gammaproteobacteria; Oceanospirillales; Halomonadaceae
Description: partial 16S ribosomal RNA
Rfam family: Bacterial small subunit ribosomal RNA
Source: RNAcentral
CCAGGGGUGCUGCAGUGGGGAAUAUUGGACAAUGGGCGAAAGCCUGAUCCAGCCAUGCCGCGUGUGUGAAGAAGGCCUUCGGGUUGUAAAGCACUUUCAGUGGGGAAGAAAGCCUUGGGGCUAAUACCCUCGAGGAAGGACAUCACCCACAGAAGAAGCACCGGCUAACUCCGUGCCAGCAGCCGCGGUAAUACGGAGGGUGCGAGCGUUAAUCGGAAUUACUGGGCGUAAAGCGCGCGUAGGCGGUCUGAUAAGCCGGUUGUGAAAGCCCCGGGCUCAACCUGGGAACGGCAUCCGGAACUGUCAGGCUAGAGUGCAGGAGAGGAAGGUAGAAUUCCCGGUGUAGCGGUGAAAUGCGUAGAGAUCGGGAGGAAUACCAGUGGCGAAGGCGGCCUUCUGGACUGACACUGACGCUGAGGUGCGAAAGCGUGGGUAGCAAACAGGAUUAGAUACCCCAGUAGUC